RNAcentral lists this ribosomal RNA (256 nucleotides) under Escherichia coli. RNAcentral describes it as "partial 16S ribosomal RNA". It matches the Rfam family "Bacterial small subunit ribosomal RNA", at positions 1 to 252 of the family's 1533-position model. The record is from RNAcentral. Lineage: Bacteria; Pseudomonadati; Pseudomonadota; Gammaproteobacteria; Enterobacterales; Enterobacteriaceae.
AAAUUGAAGAGUUUGAUCAUGGCUCAGAUUGAACGCUGGCGGCAGGCCUAACACAUGCAAGUCGAACGGUAACAGGAAGAAGCUUGCUUCUUUGCUGACGAGUGGCGGACGGGUGAGUAAUGUCUGGGAAACUGCCUGAUGGAGGGGGAUAACUACUGGAAACGGUAGCUAAUACCGCAUAACGUCGCAAGACCAAAGAGGGGGGACCUUCGGGCCUCUUGCCAUCGGAUGUGCCCAGAUGGGAUUAGCUAGUAGG